RNAcentral lists this unclassified non-coding RNA (364 nucleotides) under Hevea brasiliensis (rubber tree). The record is from RNAcentral. Lineage: Eukaryota; Viridiplantae; Streptophyta; Magnoliopsida; Malpighiales; Euphorbiaceae.
GAUCAAUGGGAUUGUAGUUGCAAAGAGUGGCAGCUUAAUGGAUUGGCUUGUUGCCAUAGUAUUGCUGUUUCUGAAUACCUAGGAAGGAGCCCCUAUGAUCUUUGCUCCCGAUACUUCUCAACUGAGAGUUACCAUGCAACAUAUGCUGAAUCAAUUAACCCCAUACCUCAUUUGGAAAAACCGAUUAAAGGUGAACCAGAUAUGGAGCACAUGGUCAUAGUUGUUACUCCUCCACCAACAAAACGUCCACCUGGUCGACCAAAGAUGAAAAAGGCAGACACUUUUGACAUAGUCAAACGUCAGAUGCAGUGCAGCAAGUGUAAGGGCCUAGGCCACAAUAAGAAGACGUGUGGGAAGGUGAAUA